This 19-nucleotide unclassified non-coding RNA is filed under the name Mus musculus (house mouse). Its description in RNAcentral is "oocyte_clustered_small_RNA1351". The record is from RNAcentral. Lineage: Eukaryota; Metazoa; Chordata; Mammalia; Rodentia; Muridae.
UCAGAGUACUCUCGGCAGG